UCGGGAAUUUUGGGCAAUGGGCGAAAGCCUGAUCCAGCAAUGCCGCGUGAAGGAUGAAGUAUUUCGGGUUGUAAAGCACUUUCAGCGAGGAGGAAGGGAGUUGUGUUAAUAGCACAGCUUCUUGACGUUACUCGCAGAAGAAGCACCGGCUAACUCUGUGCCAGCAGCCGCGGUAAUACAGAGGGUGCAAGCGUUAAUCGGAAUUACUGGGCGUAAAGCGCACGUAGGCGGUUUUUUAAGUCAGAUGUGAAAGCCCCGGGCUCAACCUGGGAAUUGCAUUUGAAACUGGAAAACUAGAGUGUGUGAGAGGGGGGUAGAAUUCCAAGUGUAGCGGUGAAAUGCGUAGAGAUUUGGAGGAAUACCAGUGGCGAAGGCGGCCCCCUGGCACAACACUGACGCUCAGGUGCGAAAGCGUGGGGAGCAAACAGGAUUAGAUACCCUCGUAGUCCCUGAGCGGGCUGGCAAGGCGCAU
This 472-nucleotide ribosomal RNA is filed under the name uncultured bacterium. Its description in RNAcentral is "bacterial SSU rRNA". It matches the Rfam family "Bacterial small subunit ribosomal RNA", at positions 355 to 825 of the family's 1533-position model. The record is from RNAcentral.